UACGUAGGGACCAAGCGUUGUCCGGAAUCAUUGGGCGUAAAGCGCGCGUAGGUGGCCAUUUAAGUCCGCUGUGAAAGUCAGAGGCUCAACCUUUGAAAGCCGGUGGAUACUGGAUGGCUAGAGUACGGAAGAGGCGAGUGGAAUUCCUGGUGUAGCGGUGGAAUGCGCAGAUAUCAGGAGGAACACCGAUAGCGAAGGCAGCUCGCUGGGACGUUACUGACACUAAGGCGCGAAAGCGUGGGGAGCGAACAGG
RNAcentral lists this ribosomal RNA (253 nucleotides) under uncultured bacterium. RNAcentral's name for it is "partial 16S ribosomal RNA". It matches the Rfam family "Bacterial small subunit ribosomal RNA", at positions 524 to 776 of the family's 1533-position model. The record is from RNAcentral.